GCUUGUAGCUCAGCGGAUAGAGCGUCUGCCUCCGGAGCAGAAGGCCGUGGGUUCAAAUCCCAUCAAGCC
This 69-nucleotide transfer RNA is filed under the name uncultured Bifidobacterium sp. It matches the Rfam family "tRNA". From Rfam's summary of the family: Transfer RNA (tRNA) molecules are approximately 80 nucleotides in length. Their secondary structure includes four short double-helical elements and three loops (D, anti-codon, and T loops). Further hydrogen bonds mediate the characteristic L-shaped molecular structure. tRNAs have two regions of fundamental functional importance: the anti-codon, which is responsible for specific mRNA codon recognition, and the 3' end, to which the tRNAs corresponding amino acid is attached (by aminoacyl-tRNA synthetases). tRNAs cope with the degeneracy of the genetic code in two manners: having more than one tRNA (with a specific anti-codon) for a particular amino acid; and 'wobble' base-pairing, i.e. permitting non-standard base-pairing at the 3rd anti-codon position. The record is from RNAcentral. Lineage: Bacteria; Bacillati; Actinomycetota; Actinomycetes; Bifidobacteriales; Bifidobacteriaceae.